This 253-nucleotide ribosomal RNA is filed under the name uncultured bacterium. Its description in RNAcentral is "partial 16S ribosomal RNA". It matches the Rfam family "Bacterial small subunit ribosomal RNA", at positions 524 to 776 of the family's 1533-position model. The record is from RNAcentral.
UACAGGGGGCUCGAGCGUUAGUCGGAAUCACUGGGCUUAAAGGGCGCGUAGGCGGCGUAACAAGUCACUUGUGAAAUCUCCGGGCUUAACCCGGAGCGGCCAAGUGAUACUGUUGUGCUAGAGUGCGGAAGGGGCUACUGGAAUUCUCGGUGUAGCGGUGAAAUGCGUAGAUAUCGCUUGGAACGCCAACGGUGAAAACAGGUUGCUGGGGUUGUGCCGACGCUGAGACACGAAAGCCAGGGGAGCAAACGGG